This 25-nucleotide unclassified non-coding RNA is filed under the name Mus musculus (house mouse). RNAcentral describes it as "oocyte_clustered_small_RNA6632". Lineage: Eukaryota; Metazoa; Chordata; Mammalia; Rodentia; Muridae. The record is from RNAcentral.
UGGGAAGGUGUUGGGACAUGGAACA